Molecule: unclassified non-coding RNA, 345 nt
Filed under: soil metagenome
Description: partial contains 5.8S ribosomal RNA, internal transcribed spacer 2, and large subunit ribosomal RNA
Rfam family: 5.8S ribosomal RNA (bases 1-120)
Source: RNAcentral
GAUGAAGAACGCAGCGAAAUGCGAUAAGUAGUGUGAAUUGCAGACUUUAGUGAAUCAUCGAAUCUUUGAACGCACAUUGCGCCCCCUGGUAUUCCGGGGGGCAUGCCUGUCCGAGCGUCAUUGCUGCCCUCAAGCACGGCUUGUGUGUUGGGCCUCCGUCCUCCUCCCGGGGGACGGGCCCGAAAGGCAGCGGCGGCACCGCGUCCGGUCCUCGAGCGUAUGGGGCUUCGUCACCCGCUCUUGUAGGCCCGGCCGGCGCUUGCCGACACAUCAAUCUUUUUUCCAGGUUGACCUCGGAUCAGGUAGGGAUACCCGCUGAACUUAAGCAUAUCAAUAAGCGGAGGA